AGAGCCCCAACACAGGGAUCAAGUGCGAACGGAUGGUGUUAGAGGAGGGGGGCCCGUAGACAGCAGGUCUGUCUGCCAACAUCAAAAGCCAAAUGACCGGAACGUGGUGUACAGUAGGAUCGGGUGUCAAGCGGCUGAAUCAAGUCGGAGCUGCAGUCUGCCGUGGCUAAGAGUGGCACAGUGUCGUCUUCCUUUUGGUCAGAGAUGUUGCCAACAUUAACACCAUGUGUGACACAACAAAACGGACAAAGUGAAAUGGAAAUGAAGGACUACUUUGGUCGGUUUUCAUCACAUUAACAUUAUGUAACAAUCUGCAGCACAGUGAGUGCUUUUUCCAAUAAAGCCCAAGCUCUGUUACCAAC
This is a long non-coding RNA of Notothenia coriiceps (black rockcod), 362 nucleotides long. RefSeq lists it as uncharacterized. NCBI's taxonomy places the organism in Eukaryota, Metazoa, Chordata, Actinopteri, Perciformes, Nototheniidae. The record is from RefSeq and is a predicted model, not a curated record. The transcript is spliced from 2 exons.